CCUACGGGAGGCAGCAGUGGGGAAUUUUGGACAAUGGGCGCAAGCCUGAUCCAGCUAUUCCGCGUGUGGGAAGACGGCCUUCGGGUUGUAAACCACUUUUGUAGAGAACGAAAAGGCUGUUGAUAAUACCGAUAGAUGAUGACGGUACUCUAAGAAUAAGCACCGGCUAACUACGUGCCAGCAGCCGCGGUAAUACGGAGGGUGCGAGCGUUAAUCGGAAUUACUGGGCGUAAAGGGUGUGCAGGCGGUUUUGCAAGAUGGAUGUGAAAGCCCCGGGCUUAACCUGGGAAAGCCAUACAUGACUGCAAGACUAGAGUGCGUCAGAGGGGGGUGGAAUUCCAAGUGUAGCAGUGAAAUGCGUAGAUAUUUGGAAGAACACCGAUGGCGAAGGCAGCCCCCUGGGACGCAACUGACGCUCAUACACGAAAGCGUGGGGAGCAAACAGGAUUAGAUACCCGAGUAGUC
Molecule: ribosomal RNA, 465 nt
Filed under: uncultured bacterium
Lineage: Bacteria
Description: partial 16S ribosomal RNA
Rfam family: Bacterial small subunit ribosomal RNA
Source: RNAcentral